UUCUGCUGGGCGCGAGCUUGGAGGGUCCCCCGUGGGACAAUCGGUGCCUCCUCUCCCAGGAGUUCGGCGGUUCCUGUCACGUUCAGUAGCAGCCGCAGUAGUGGCCAAGGAAACGCUGAUCCGAGGCCGCUGCCGCUGUCCUAUAAUCUUCUAGAUGGAGACGCGACACUCCCAGCCAUCGUCCUUUUGCAUGGACUCUUCGGCAGCAAAAGCAACUUCAACUCCCUCGCCAAGGCGUUGGUUCAGAGGACCGGCAGGAGGGUGCUGACAGUGGAUGCUCGGAAUCAUGGUGACAGUCCCCACAGUCCAGAUGCAAGCUAUGAGGCCAUGAGUCAGGACCUCCAGGGCCUCCUCCCCCAGCUGGGCCUGGUGCCCAGUGUCCUCGUUGGCCACAGCAUGGGAGGAAAGACAGCCAUGCUACUGGCACUGCAGAGGGUGAGCUACACAGGUCUGGGUCCCCUCAAUGCACUGUGAGCCUUAAGCACCCCAUUAAUAACGUGGGACUCAUCUGUACCUUGGAUGGCCAGGUUCCAGAAACUCUGCUGGAGGCUCGGAGAGUUUGCCUGGGACCCGCUCUGUUCUGAUUCUGUCUCACAGCCAGAUGUUGUGGAACGACUGGUUGUCGUAGACAUAAGCCCAGCAGGAACCACACCGGGAUCAUAC
Molecule: long non-coding RNA, 663 nt
Filed under: Rattus norvegicus (Norway rat)
Lineage: Eukaryota; Metazoa; Chordata; Mammalia; Rodentia; Muridae
Description: long non-coding RNA NONRATT007888
Source: RNAcentral